RNAcentral lists this long non-coding RNA (1138 nucleotides) under Carica papaya (papaya). RNAcentral's name for it is "long non-coding RNA (CPAP_LNC010392)". The record is from RNAcentral. Lineage: Eukaryota; Viridiplantae; Streptophyta; Magnoliopsida; Brassicales; Caricaceae.
UGCCUAAAAGACAUAAACAGCUAAAUAUUGGAUGCUUUAUCGAAGAUAAGUUGUAAAGGAUAAGAGUCAAUAUCAAACAAGAAAAGUUCCUCAAAAAAGGCAUCAAACAGGCAUAAGGAACAUAUCAUGAAAAACAUGAGGAUAUUCUAACGAUAUAUGUAAUAUACCACCAAACAUGAUUGUAUAAAAUCGGUUAAACAAAGGUAAAGCAUCGUCCGAUUGCUAUAGAACCAAAUAAAAUAAUUAACUAUGGUAGAUUUGGAAAUCAAAUGCUUUUGGACUACUUCUGCACUCCGAUGCUCAAGAAAUGGAAUGAUUUUGGCUCUUCUAUUUGUUUCUUGUGGAAGGUAAAAACAGUCUCAUUCCUAUACAACCAAACAAAACAAGUAACUACUGUAGAUUAUGGAAAUCAAAUGCUUCUAAACUACUUCUACACUUCGAUGCUCAAGAAAAAAAAUUGGAAUCCUUUUCUCUCCUGUGUUAUUUCUUGUGCAAGGUAAGCAAUGAAUAUUGGUUUUCUUUUGCAAUUUACUUGAGACCAUCUAUAAACAUUUAGUCAAUGUAAAAAGUCAAAGAACAAAGAGGUUUGCACACAUCUAUAAACAGAACAUACAAUUGAUGAGUUCUAGAUUAAGAGAUCACUGAAAGUAAAUGAUUGGAGACCUUGUCCAAGGGAGCAAGUAUAUUCGUUCCACCUCCCGCAAUGUAAGCAAUGAAUAUUUCUUGUGCAAGGUAAGCAAUGAAUAUUGGUUUUCUUUUGCAAUUUACUUGAUACCAUCUAUAAACAUUUAGUCAAUGUAAAAAGUCAAAGAACAAAGAGGUUUGCACACAUCUAUAAACAGAACAUACAAUUGAUGAGUUCUAGAUUAAGAGAUCACUGAAAGUAAAUGAUUGGAGACCUUGUCCAAGAAGGAAGUAUAUUCGUUCCACCUCCCGCAAUGUAAGCAAUGAAUAUUUCUUGUGCAAGGUAAGCAAUGAAUAUUGGUUUUCUUUUGCAAUUUACUUGAUACCAUCUAUAAACAUUUAGUCAAUGUAAAAAGUCAAAGAACAAAGAGGUUUGCACACAUCUAUAAACAGAACAUACAAUUGAUGAAUUCCAGAUUAAGAGAUCACUGAAAGUAAAUGAUUGGAGACCUUG